GGGCCCGCACAAGCGGAGGAACAUGUGGUUUAAUUCGAUGAUACGCGAGGAACCUUACCCGGGCUCGAACGACAGGAGAAUACAGGUGAAAGCUUGUAGCUAGCAAUAGCUGCUGUCGAGGUGCUGCAUGGUUGUCGUCAGCUCGUGCCGUGAGGUGUCGGCUUAAGUGCCAUAACGAGCGCAACCCUUAUCUUUAGUUACCAUCAGGUUAAGCUGGGGACUCUGGAGAGACUGCCACCGUAAGGUGUGAGGAAGGUGGGGAUGACGUCAAAUCAGCACGGCCCUUACGUCCGGGGCGACACACGUGUUACAAUGGGGGGGACAAAGGGCAGCUACCAGGUGACUGGAUGCUAAUCUCCAAACCCUCUCCCAGUUCCGGAUCGGAGUCUGCAACUCGACUCCGUGAAGCUGGAUUCGCUAGUAAUCGCGCAUCAGCCAUGGCG
Molecule: ribosomal RNA, 443 nt
Filed under: uncultured Bacteroidota bacterium
Lineage: Bacteria; Pseudomonadati; Bacteroidota
Description: bacterial SSU rRNA
Rfam family: Bacterial small subunit ribosomal RNA
Source: RNAcentral